GAACUUAGCAGAGAUGCUUUGGUGCCUUCGGGAACUCUGAGACAGGUGCUGCAUGGCUGUCGUCAGCUCGUGUUGUGAAAUGUUGGGUUAAGUCCCGCAGCGAGCGCAACCCUUAUCCUUUGUUGCCAGCGGUCCGGCCGGGAACUCAAAGGAGACUGCCAGUGAUAAACUGGAGGAAGGUGGGGAUGACGUCAAGUCAUCAUGGCCCUUACGAGUAGGGCUACACACGUGCUACAAUGGCGCAUACAAAGAGAAGCGACCUCGCGAGAGCAAGCGGACCUCAUAAAGUGCGUCGUAGUCCGGAUUGGAGUCCGCAACUCGACUCCAUGAAGUCGGAAUCGCUAGUAAUCGUGGAUCAGAAUGCCACGGUGAAUACGUUCCCGGGCCUUGUACACACCGCCCGUCACACCAUGGGAGUGGGUUGCAAAAGAAGUAGGUAGCUUAACCUUCGGGAGGGCGCUCACCACUUUGUGAUUCAUGACUGGGGUGAAGUCGUAACAAGGUAGGCGUAGUGCU
Molecule: ribosomal RNA, 516 nt
Filed under: uncultured bacterium
Lineage: Bacteria
Description: bacterial SSU rRNA
Rfam family: Bacterial small subunit ribosomal RNA
Source: RNAcentral